This is a non-coding RNA of Methanolinea sp. SDB, 122 nucleotides long. NCBI's taxonomy places the organism in Archaea, Methanobacteriati, Methanobacteriota, Methanomicrobia, Methanomicrobiales, Methanoregulaceae. The record is from Rfam.
AAUUGCGGCCAUAGCAGUCGGGAUACACCUGGACUCAUUCCGAACCCAGAAGUUAAGCCGACUCACGUAGUGCACUGUACUGAGGUACGCGAGUCCUCGGGAACUGUACCACGCUGCAAUUA